AUGAAUCAAUCAGGACACACGUAAAUUUAUAUAAUGACAAAAUUUUGACACACCAGGUAAGCUAGAAAAAGGGCGAUACACGGCGUUUUGUUGAGAUAUGCUAUGCUAAGUGAACAAAUAACUGGAAGCAUCGACCAUCAGAAUGCAGAAUUGCUUCCUCUGGUUUUCCCGAGUAGAAUGUCUUUUGCCUCGUUGAUCUUGGAAGCAAGAUAAU
RNAcentral lists this unclassified non-coding RNA (214 nucleotides) under Hevea brasiliensis (rubber tree). Lineage: Eukaryota; Viridiplantae; Streptophyta; Magnoliopsida; Malpighiales; Euphorbiaceae. The record is from RNAcentral.